GGCUGUAUUUGCGCAUCAGCGUCAGCGUCCCACGCAGUGGCUACUAGCUAGGUUGGUAACACGUGCGUGUUCGGCUCUGUGGCAGUGGCACUUAACAGACACCAAGUUUGAGCGAACUUCACAUUGCUACUGGCUGCUAGCAGCUAAUAGCUAUUUUGCCUGUUUCAAGCUCCCCACGCCAUGAUUCAGGUUGUGAUGUUCCAUUAUGUGGAGGACACUUGCCUGGCUAGAGAAGUGGACAUGAACAGAGUGCCCUUGACUCCCACCAUUGUUGUAUGUGAUGUUUCUUCUCUAUUAAUCCGGAGAAGGGGACGAAAGUGGAACAAACAAAAACAAAAUGGCUCCAUGUGAAUCCAAGAGUCCUUACUUUGAUUCAGGACUUCUCAGACCAUGAAUGGCAAGCUAUUUAAAAAGUUGUUCCUUCAAGUGACUGCAACAGUGAACACCCAUAUGUUUCUCUAGAUGUUCUUCUAGAAGCAAUGCAGUUGCAUGUUAAUCUAAGCUUCUGUAACUUGGUUCAUGACCUUUUCAACCAUGAAUGGCGAGCUGUUUGAAAAGUUGUUCAAGUGACCGCGACAGUGAACACCCAUAUGUUUCUUUAGAUGUUCUUCUAGA
Long non-coding RNA from Cyprinodon tularosa, 615 nucleotides. RefSeq lists it as uncharacterized. The transcript has 6 exons. The record is from RefSeq and is a predicted model, not a curated record. NCBI's taxonomy places the organism in Eukaryota, Metazoa, Chordata, Actinopteri, Cyprinodontiformes, Cyprinodontidae.